CAGCAGCCGCGGGAAUACAGAGGGUGCAAGCGUUAAUCGGAAUUACUGGGCGUAAAGCGCGCGUAGGUGGUUCGCCAAGUUGGAUGUGAAAUCCCCGGGCUCAACCUGGGAACUGCAUCCAAAACUGGCGAGCUAGAGUAUGGUAGAGGGUGGUGGAAUUUCCUGUGUAGCGGUGAAAUGCGUAGAUAUAGGAAGGAACAUCAGUGGCGAAGGCGACCACCUGGACUGAUACUGACACUGAGGAGCGAAAGCGUGGGUAGCGAACAGGAUUAGAUACCCCAGUAGUCCCUGUCUCUUAUAC
This 301-nucleotide ribosomal RNA is filed under the name uncultured bacterium. RNAcentral describes it as "partial 16S ribosomal RNA". It matches the Rfam family "Bacterial small subunit ribosomal RNA", at positions 509 to 807 of the family's 1533-position model. The record is from RNAcentral.